GAUGAACGCUGGCGGUAUGCUUAACACAUGCAAGUCGAACGGACUCUUCGGAGUUAGUGGCGGACGGGGGAGUAACGCGUGAGAAUCUGGCUUUGGGUUCGGGACAACCACUGGAAACGGUGGCUAAUACCGGAUGUGCCGAGAGGUAAAAGAGAAUUGGCCUGAAGAUGAGCUCGCGUCUGAUUAGCUAGUUGGUGAGGUAAAGGCUCACUAAGGCAGCGAUAAGUAGCUGGCCUGAGAGGAUGGCCAGCCACCCUGGGACUGAGACACGGCAGAGACUCCUACGGGAGGCAGCGGUGGAGAAUGUUCCGCAAUGGGCGAAAGCCUGACGGAGCAAUACCGCGUGUGGGAAGAAGGUUCUUGGGUUGUAAACCUCUUUUCUUAGAGAAGAACAAAAUGACGGUACCUAAGGAAUCAGCACCGGCUAACUCCGUG
This 435-nucleotide ribosomal RNA is filed under the name uncultured bacterium. RNAcentral describes it as "partial 16S ribosomal RNA". It matches the Rfam family "Bacterial small subunit ribosomal RNA", at positions 28 to 507 of the family's 1533-position model. The record is from RNAcentral.